Molecule: long non-coding RNA, 8293 nt
Filed under: Mytilus galloprovincialis (Mediterranean mussel)
Lineage: Eukaryota; Metazoa; Mollusca; Bivalvia; Mytilida; Mytilidae
Source: RNAcentral
AGAAUUAUUAUAAUUUUGGCGUAAGCUUGCCAACUGGAAAAAUGGGGCCAUAUCAGGAAUGUUUGGCACCAACGGUAAGCAAGUUAUUACUAAUUUAUCAUAGAGGACAAAGUGCUCCUUAUACAGUAGAAAAAUUAAAAUGCAAAUCAAUGUAUUCAAAAUAUAUCAAUUCAAGUUUUUAUCAUUUUGCAUUGAUGAAAAAGAUCCGACCGGUUAUUUUUUUGUACAACUCAAAAAAGAGGAAUACGAUUUUUUCCAAUUAUCAAUCAGGUCCAUCACAAAGGAGGCUACUGUUUCUAAAAAAAAUGGUUAACUAAUUGCCAAAAUGAAAAUCUGAGAACUUACCUUGCUUUGUAUUAGAUACCUUAGAUUAAAAGGUGUUACAAUUCAACAUUUUCCUUAAGAGCCUGCAGCUUCUUCUUUUUCAAUUUAGGACAGUUUAUGAUACUUGAUAAUAUUACGCAAAGGAAAUCAUAUGUUCAUUUACUUCCUUCGAAUAUGCUCAACCUAAAUAAAAAAAACUGAAAACCAAGGUUGUAUACAUACGAAGAUAUGGUGCCUGCGGGAGUUGAAAUCUCAGUUUCUUUUAAAUGAUUUGUAAGGUUACCAACAGGAAAUUUUGAAAACAAUUUAGUACAGAGACUAUUUCGCUGAUGAUGUAUUCGGAGACGGUACAUUGAUCUAUAUACUCGAUAGUAUAAUCGUUGUAUAUAUAUAUGUUAGCGGCAAUAAGUGAAAUUAGGUAUUAAGCUUAAAUCCUAUGCAAUAAUCUUUCGACUUGUUAGUAAGUCUAUUGACUAAAUUAUGUUAUGCAUGAGUCAUUAAUCCUAGAAAUUAAGCUUAAAUCCUGAAUAAUGUGUGCAGGAAAUCAGCUUAAUGCCUGAAAUAUAAAUGCAAGUAAAUAAAAGACAUUUUGUCAUUUAAAUAAAAAUACAUUUGUUACAUAAUAGCAGUAUGAGAACAGGGGCCUGUUUAUUGAAAGCUCGGUCCUAUGAGAAAUUAUUAAGUCAGAAAUAAGAAUAAAAUUGGACCCAACUUUCGACAUUUCUCUAAGAGAUUCGAAAGAUACCAAAGGGACAGUCAAACACAUAAAUCUAAAAUAAACUGACAACGGUGAAUGGUGAAGUUGAAAUCAUCCGUUCGUAAAUUUUACGGACGCCAUCACGAGUUGGUUGACCGUUAUGGAAUAACCGUUUCACAAAUGAUAUCGGUACUGUUCUCUAACGUUCGUAAAUAACACCCUUCCCUUCAUUGAAUGCAUGACCUACCGAAUUAGACUAUUUACCGGAUUUGUAAUCACAUAAGCAACACGACGGGUGCCACAUGUGGAGCAGGAUCUGUCUACCCUUCCGGAGCACCUGAGAUCACCCCUAGUUUUUUUUGGGGUUUGUUUAUUCUUUAGUUUUCUAUGUUGUGUCAUGUGUACUAUUGUUUUUCUGUUUGUCGUUUUCAUUUUUAGCCUUGGCGUUGUCAUUUGUUUUAGAUUUAUGUGUUUGACUGUCCCUUUGGUAUCUUUCGACCCUCUCUUAUUGCCUAGGAUUUACGCUUUAUGCUUAAUUUCACUUAUCGCCGCUAACAUUGAACAAAAGUGAAUUAUCAGUAAAAAAAAAGUCCAUUUAUUUCAACUUAAAUCGAUAUUUUUUUUUAAUAUUACCAUGUAACUGUAUAAGUGAUUUUUACAAAAUAGAAACAAAACGAUGUAGAAAUGUCUGAAGUUUUAUUGUUUAUAUGUUUAUUACAUUAUUCAUGCUCUUUUUAAUUUUCUGACGAGAUGAACACAAGAAAAAUAUCUCUUGAAAAUUUUGCUAUGUAUCCUUUCCAAAUUAAAAUCGUGAACAUUUGCAUUUGUGUUUAACCUAUCAUAUGAUGAAAACAGAACUCACGAAAAUAAUGGCCAAAUAAAACUUCAGAUAUUUCUUCAUCUUUUGGUAUCUAUAAUAUAGAAAUUGCUCAUACAGUUACUUGGUAGUAUUUUUAUUUUUUUAAAUAUCGAUUUUAGUUGAAAUGAUAGGUCAUUUUUUGAGUGAGAACCAACUUUUGUUCCAUGAGUGGAUAUAUAUAUAUAUAUGUUAGCGGCAAUAAGUAAAAUUAGGCAUUAAGCUUAAAUCCUAGGCAAUAAGCUAACGCCUAGGCAUUAAGUUAUUGCCUGAAAUUUCAGGCAUUAAGCUUAUUGCCUGAAAUCUGAUGAUGAUUAUUUAUCCUAUUGCCGAACAUAAUUAGGCAAUAAGUAAACUCUGGAAUUGAUGCAUAUUGGGUGAUUUAUUCUUGAUAUAGAGUCGUUUUUUAUUUAUAUUCUAAUUCUACAUUAUAAAUAUACAUAAAUUUGACAGACUCUCAAAUUUAGUAAGUUAAUUUAGUAAUUUAGCAGUUGAAAAACAGAAUUAACUCAUACUUUUUUCAUGUUCGUGUGGUAUUACUAAUUAUCAAAAAGACUUAAAAAAAAAGUAUUGUAUCCAAUUGAAAAGGGGGGGGAGAUUCUAUAGAAUAUUAUAAUUAUAUUAUUUGAAAAUUUUACACUGCAUAAGUCUGGUUAAAUCAAAGUAGAACAAAUUAAGAUUAUGAUUUUUUAUCCCACCAUUUUCCCUUUUUUUUAUAUUGGAUAAGUAAAUGUCUUUGUUAAUAGUUCCACAAUUUGUGAAAAGCAAAAUGAAUUUUUAACACUCAUUUCUAUCAAGUUUUUUAUUUCAAAAUUAUAAUUUGAUACAUUUUAAUAUCAAAAACAUAUUUUAUUAGGGAAUUUAUUUCUGGAUCUCUUGUGGAAGAUUUGUCAUAUUGGCAAUCAUGCCACAUCUUCUUUUUUUAUAUUUAAGGUGACUGAGCCCUGUACUUUUGCAUCGUUAAAAUCGGUGAAAUUCGAUUUUUUUCUUCUGCACUUUUCAAACGUAUGUUAUUUGCAGUAAUAAAAUAAAAUAGUUGACGUAUUUAUAUGAAAUGCAGAGAUUUUCCUAUGAACUUUUAAGUAUGAAACCGUGAUGCUUCGAAUUCAGGUCCUCAAAGCAUAAAAUAUUUUACCGAUUGUAUAUUUAAUUUUAACUAUUACAAUUAUUUUGUUCAUCUAAUAUAUUUUUUACUUAUAUUUUGUUUCAAAGAGUUUAGAUCUACAACUAUUAUAUAAAAAUAUUUAUUAUAACCUUUCAUUAAACUAAUAAUAUUUUUUAAUAAUAAUCGGUUUAUGAUUAAAUUUUUUGGUUGAAUUUGAUACAAUAUUUCAUUUUUUUCAUUUGCUUUUUCUUUUUACGCCAAUACUUAUGACAUCCCAGCUAAUAUAAUCUUUAGAUAGCUUCGAUAUUUCUCUGUCUAAGAAUAUCUCAUAGGACUGAUCUAGGACAGUGUCGAUAAACAGGCCGGAGUUAUCAUAAUGUUAUUAUGAUAAAAAAAUGUAUUUUAAUUUAAAUGAAUAAAUGUCUUUCAUUUACUCGCAUUUACAUUUCGGGCAUUAACCUUAAGUGCCUGCACACAUUUUUCAGGAUUAAGCUUAAAUCUAGGUUUAAAAAUAAUGCCUAAAAUCAUUCGGCAAUAGACUUACUGCCUAGGGUGAGCUUAUUGCCUAGGAUUUAAGCUUAAGGGCAUACGAUACAGUUACAGGGAAGGUUAUGACGUUUCUACGUAAAUUGCUAUUUUCGCGACGUCAAACUAUGAACUUAUCGGAAAAGAUUCAGUUUUCGACUGAUUUAAUCAUUCAAACUUAUUUAACUUGAAAAACGAGUUCAUGGACCCCUCUUUUUUAAAAUGCCAUUUGGUUUGAUUACGGACAAGAUUAUGUGUGCCAAUUUUCAUGAAAACGUAAAGAGUACAAUUUUUUUAAGAGUUGAUAAAUAUACCCAAAAAAAUAAUGUUUUUUCUACAUUCAUGAACAUUUGAUAAAUAUGAGAUAUUUCUGAAUAUAAAAUGUAUAAAUUUUAGGAUACUUAUAAAACAGAAAUUACAAAUUAUUUAACAAAAAACAAUUUAUGUUUAUUUUUAAAACAAAAAGUUAUGACUUUCUUUCGAAAGAGAAAAUACGGCCACAAAUCCGAAUUUUGAGCAAAUAUACAAAAUUUCGACCUCAUUUUACUCAAAAAGUAGCACAUGAAGGUAAUACUUUUUUAACAUAUUUGAUUUAAUAUAGGUAAAAACAGUCUAUAUGCAAAUUUUUAUCAAAAUGUAAAUACAGGAUCAAAACUGUAUCGUUAUGCCCUUCAAUUGCCUAAUUUCACUUAUUGCCGCUAACAUAUAUAUAUAAGAUAUAGUUAGAGGAGGGGAUAAGAUGUCUUCGCAGUGCUAGGCGGUUUUGUCGUAGAAUGUUUUGUCGUUAUGUAUACAUAAAUUUUUAAAAAAAAUUAUUGAUAAUAUAUAUGCACACUCACCAAAAAAUUGUGUUAACGCAUGCUGAAGAAAUAUGCGGCAAUCCCCCACGCAGAGUUACCGAUCCUUGCGAUGACCUAUAACUCUCCAAUGGAAGAUUGGUAUUGCGGGAAAAUAAGAAUGAAUGCCUACUCCGUUUUGUUAGAUCACUUAGUCACUUGCACUGCACCAUUAUUAUAAUAGUGGAAUAGAAUGGUAUACAAAUGGAUGAAAACUAUAUAUACAUGUAAAUGCUAUAUUGAUGAAAUAUAGCAAUAAUUUUGAAAAUGGAAAUGUGGAAUGUGUCAAAGAGACAAAAACCCGACCAAUGAACAAAAAACAACCGAAGACUACCAAUAGGUCUUCAACGCAAAGGGAAACUCCAACACACAAUUUUUUUCUGAGACAAGCACUUUUGACAUCCACAAGAACUUAGGGUCAUCCGAUAUUAUGAACUUCAGUACUUGGGUUUCUUUUAUAAAAAAAAAAUCAUUAAGGGUUGUACCGACCGAAUAUAAAAAUAAAGUACAUGCCAAGACACAUAAUUAACAGCGCCUGGUGAUGUUUCAUAGCCUGACCGGAUUUUGCCUCUGAUGAAGGUACUUUUUGGACCCGAAACCGGUCAAGCUUUGAAACAUCAAAAGGCGCUGAUAAUUAUGUGUAUUGGUAUAUAUACUAUAUAUGUUUAUGCUUACACAUUUUUAUCCGCUGAUACACAUAAUUAAUUUGGCUUCUACAACGAAAGCUCGAUUUGGAGCUUAUGUGUUUAGAGACCUCUUAUGUCAGUACACAUUUCCUAUAUUACCUACCGACUAUGUUUUCGAUUAGUAGUUAUUCAUCGAAUUGACAUCACUUAAUUAUAUAAAUAGAUUUCUGGCCAUUUGUAAUCUUAUAUAUAUGUUGGGUUUUUUUUAUUUCGGUUCAUGUAUAUGUUUUCGAGUUGAGUGUGUUCUAUGAAUUAGUAGACAUAUACAUUUGUAAGACAGUUAAAGCCAUUCUCCAGUUGCUGGAUUUCGCUCUGUGUUAGAGUAGUUAUCAAAGGUACCAGGAUUGGAGAACCGUGUAUGACUUAUGGCUGUUUUCUGCUCAAUAAUUGAGCGGUUGUCAAUCUCAGGAAAUUACUUCUCAUUAUUUGCUCCUCAUUGUUAACGCGUCGCGAGUGGGAGAUGAACAACAAAGAGCAAGUGCGGAAAACAAAUUUUAGUUAGAUUGAGCUGUUGUCUCUUUGAUCGAUCACCCUUUUGUUUGCAGUUGUAUUAGAAUUAAAAAAAAUUGAAAGUCGUGGGUGAGGUCUUUAUAUCAAGACAACAGUAGUAAACUGCUGUCCAAUAGUCAUAAAUUGAUUAAGCGACAGCAAAUCCAGAUAAAGAAAAUCAAAACUGUUGAUAACACAUAAACUAUAUGAAGAACAGAAAACAACGGAAUAACAGAAACACUGAACUGCAACAUAAACCACCACCAACAUGCAUAGAAAAGGACUAUUUGAUAAAAAUUUAUAUAUUCCUGUUUUAGUAUAUGACAUUAAACCUAUGAUAGGUUGAACCUGGUUUAUGGCUAGCCAAACCUCCCAAUACCGCUAAAAUAACAGCAUUACGUUACAGGCGUACAGUAUAUUGGUAAUCAAUAACACAUAAUUGUAAAACCAUUAUCAUGACUUCAAUGGCAUAUGACCCAUUCAAACAAACGCGUUCACCUAAGGUGAUUUUUAUAAUCGAAAUAUGAUUGACGUAACGUGUUCACACUAACUUAUGAAAGUAUCUCAGGAAUACUUUACCUCAACUGAUGGAGACAGUAAUGCAUUGAUUUAUUUAGUCUUUACUGGAUUGAAACUCAUUUCUGGAUAUUUAUUUUGUUAAUAUUAGAGACUAAACAAACCUAUUACUUUGUUAUUUUAUUUCAGCCACCUCCGUGUUAUCCCUACCAAGAAAUUGUAUGGAGCAGGGAUGUCAAUGGCAUAAUGUACCCGACGAUAAAUCAAUUGACACCCUAUUAAGGAGUGAUGUAACGUUUAUAUUUUUCCAAUUGACUUUCCCGGCGCUAUUUCUGUGAAUGUCUGAUGAAGGAAAUAAUACACUGAAAAAUCUAAAUUGAAUUGCAAGUCUAAUAUCAGCCUGUCUAUGAUUUAAUUAAUCAGAACGACAUAAGCAGGCAUUUAUAAAAACAUCAACAAGAUUAAUUCUAUAACUCAUUAGUCCUUUAGAUUUUAAAUCGAGAGGUUAUAUGUAUGUUUUUGUUUUUAGUUCAUUUAUAUGUUUCGCAUUUAAGGUAGAUGGGGUGUCUAAAUUAUAAUCCAUAGAAUCUUUUAAUAAUUUGCCAAAAUGUAGUUCAUAUCCUGCUUGUUUAAAAACAUUAAUAAAAAGAAUGGGUCACCGGACUUAUUUUCAUGCAACAGGUUGUUCAAAAUUGUCAAGAUUUAGUAUAGAUUAUGCAUGGGAAAACUCAUUUUUCCGCCAUAAAACGCAAACCACACCAUAGAAUUUUGAGAUAAAAUAUGAGAAGAUAGCUUCAAUAUUAUGCUUUCAGAUAGAAAAGAAAAAAGGGUCACCGGACUCGUUUUCUUGCUACAUGUAAAAAUGGGUAAAUUCCUAACACAUUCUAUUGUAAAAGUAACACAAUCUGGAUUAUCUGCCCUUGCAUUUGAGUUGCCUCCCCUUAUUUGACAAAGUUGGAAAAAAAUGAAUCAAACAAAAGAAUUCUUAUUUUUGUAAAAUACAAUCAUAAAAUUGAUCAAACAUGGCAUUUUCUAUAUUAUAAUGAAAAUUCUUACACAUGAAUUACCUACUACUAUAAAAAUUUGCACAUUUCAUCAAAGAUCUAGACCUUGUUUUCUAGUAUUUCAAAAUCCAAGAAGACACCCUAUCUACCUUAAGUGUGUCCUACGUUUUCAUUGAACUUGUAUACAUGUGUGUCUCAGGACCAGUUUAAUCCUUACUCCGGUACGAAAUUUAUUCGCUCUGCUAAAUACCUAUUGGUGGCUAUUAGCGGUGUUCUGCUCUUUUGUCUGGUAGUUGUCUUUUUGACACAUUCCAUAUAUUCAUUCUUUAUUUCAUUUUACGUGUAUAUUCAAAAUCAUAAGACGAAAACAAACUGGCAGUGCAAAAAUAGAAAAAAUAUCGAAAAAAAACCAACAGUAUAUAUUAUCCAUAACAUAGCUAAAGACCGCGUUUCACGAAAACCAUAAAAAAAUAUGUUGUGAUCGCAAAAGAGUAAACAGGUGCUGCUCCAUAUAUAAGAGUAUGGAGAUGUUGUUUGCGGCAAUUGCUCUUAGCACAAUUCAGAACCUCUUGAAAAUAUUCAAUUAGAAGCUGCUAGAAUUUUUACUAGACUAAAACUUUAAGUUGAAUUAGGAUAAGAAACUUUUAAAACUUUACGGAAAAAACAUCAGCCUAUACUUUUUUUAAUAUCAAAUGGGAUUACACCUGCAUACUUAUAUGAGUCAGUCAAGUCAUAUUUUCCCAGAAUAUUUUUUUUAUAAAUAGAUUGAUGCUAUAUUUAAUCCUUUCGAUUAUUGGAUAAAGAAACUGAGAAAUAAUGCUAGCCACCUAAAAUCUCAUAUGUUUAAUAAAUUCUUAUCAGUAGAAAUUUUCGUGACAACUAUAAUGACCUUAGUGAAGAACACCUUCUUUACUGGUUUUAAAACAGAUCUUACUUAAUCAUGUUAAUUCCAUUCACUCAAUUCUUGAUAAUGUUGACCAGUUUUGGUUUAUUAAUAUUUGUUGUAUUUAGUGUUUAUUUUUAUUUAGUGUUUAUUUUUAUUUAGAGUUUAUCUGUUGUUUUUUUUUUCAUUUCUUUCCUGAUUGCCUUCAACAUUAAUCUAUUCCACUAAGUAAGCGUAGUGUCUCUUCUAAACCUUGUAUAAAUGCUUUUAAUGCUUUAUAAAGGAUAUUCACAUUUGUCGAGGUACUUGAAUAAAUAGUCAUUACUUUCCUGUAUACUUUAAUAUACGAUGUAUAGAUUAGUUUUAUUGAUA